GAUGAACGCUAGCUACAGGCUUAACACAUGCAAGUCGAGGGGAAACGGCAUUUAGUGCUUGCACUGAAUGGACGUCGACCGGCGCACGGGUGAGUAACGCGUAUCCAACCUUCCCAUUACUGUGGGAUAACCUGCCGAAAGGCAGACUAAUACCGCAUAGUCUUCGAUGACGGCAUCAGAUUUGAAGUAAAGAUUUAUCGGUAAUGGAUGGGGAUGCGUCUGAUUAGCUUGUUGGCGGGGUAACGGCCCACCAAGGCAACGAUCAGUAGGGGUUCUGAGAGGAAGGUCCCCCACAUUGGAACUGAGACACGGUCCAAACUCCUACGGGAGGCAGCAGUGAGGAAUAUUGGUCAAUGGACGAGAGUCUGAACCAGCCAAGUAGCGUGCAGGAUGACGGCCCUAUGGGUUGUAAACUGCUUUUGUAUGGGGAUAAAGUCAAUCACGUGUGAUUGUUUGCAGGUACCAUACGAAUAAGGACCGGCUAAUUCCGUGCCAGCAGCCUCGGUAAUACGGAAGGUCCGGGCGUUAUCCGGAUUUAUUGGGUUUAAAGGGAGCGUAGGCCGGAGAUUAAGUGUGUUGUGAAAUGUAGACGCUCAACGUCUGACUUGCAGCGCAUACUGGUUUCCUUGAGUACGCACAACGUUGGCGGAAUUCGUCGUGUAGCGGUGAAAUGCUUAGAUAUGACGAAGAACUCCGAUUGCGAAGGCAGCUGACGGGAGCGCAACUGACGCUUAAGCUCGAAGGUGCGGGUAUCGAACAGG
RNAcentral lists this ribosomal RNA (761 nucleotides) under Prevotella melaninogenica. RNAcentral's name for it is "bacterial SSU rRNA". It matches the Rfam family "Bacterial small subunit ribosomal RNA", at positions 28 to 776 of the family's 1533-position model. The record is from RNAcentral. Lineage: Bacteria; Pseudomonadati; Bacteroidota; Bacteroidia; Bacteroidales; Prevotellaceae.